CAGCGCCGCACGCCCGCACGACACCCAGCCGCGGCACCGCCCGCCCCCAUCAUACGACACCCAGCCGCGGCGCCGCCCGCCCCCAUCGUGCCCUCUCCCACUCCGACCGCCGGUGGACGGUGGUGCACCACCAGACCGGCCUUGGCGCCCCUCCUGUCCUCCCUCCGACCUUCUCGCACGGCCGCGCGCUCGAUUUCCCCGGCACGGCUGCGCCCUGCCGCCCUCCACCUGCCGCCGGCAGGACCAAGAGCCCAGGAGCAGAGGAGCCAUCUCGUCACCUCGGAGGCCUAGAUCUAGCACAGCAGCACCUCCUCGCCGCCUUGUGCCCCUAUCCCUGGCGCUCAGGAUGUCAGGACCCAUGAAGCCGCGGACCAAACAAGGGCCAUCUUUCGGUUCAACUUCUGCAUCGUCCGCCACAAGGCUUCCCUUCCUGGAGCCGGCGCCGCCGGUGAACAGAAGCACUCUAGCUCCUUUUCCAGCACCAGGAUGCAAGAGGUCUAGGUUAGCAAGUGGAAGCCCUAGUCAGGAUCUAGGUCUAUGUCUAUCUUCAGCAUCUGCAAAUGGGACUCCUGCAUCUAGCCCGCCAUCAGCCUCUUUGCCAAGUCAAGGUGGGAAUGGUGUAUCCAGUGUUCUUGUGUUUGUGUUUGUGUUUGUGUGUCGGUGUGUGACUGUUUGUGGACAGUGGACCUAUUCACCUAUUAUUUGUAUGAGUGUGGACUUUUGUUGUGUUGACUGUGAUGGCAUGUCAUCGGUUAUGACAGUAUGAGACUAUGGCAUGUUAUUUGUUAUGUGAAGGCUUAAUGUUAUGUCGUGGUGCUAUUUACCUA
Long non-coding RNA from Panicum virgatum (switchgrass), 827 nucleotides. RefSeq lists it as uncharacterized. The transcript has 2 exons. The record is from RefSeq and is a predicted model, not a curated record. NCBI's taxonomy places the organism in Eukaryota, Viridiplantae, Streptophyta, Magnoliopsida, Poales, Poaceae.